UCUGGUCUCUAAAUAUUUUUAAAUAAGGACUGAAAACAAGUUGGACACAGACCUACAAAGGCUGCCUGGUGUACCUGUACCUGUGGGUCACCAAACUGUGAGCAUCCUCAGACCAGGAGAAAAAGGGAAACUUACCAGUUAUGUGCCACAGUGUUCUUGUCCCCUAAGAGAAGCAUAAUUGUUCCUGACAGUGACAGAUUUCUCCCAGGGAACCACAUUUGCUUAAACAGCAGUUUGCAAAACCACGGAGUCCCCAGCAACUCUGAAGCAUAGCAGAGGUCUUCUCUGCAUUGCUUCCUACCCCGGCCUUUGUUGUAAGUGGACGGCAUAAUGCACUAGCAACCAGGUGCGCCUCCCCCAAAGCUCACCUAAUCCAAGGAUGGAUUUUAAGCUGCCCUGACCACUUAUUCGUCUGCUUUGAAAUAGCAGUAUAUAGAAAGCCCACUUUUAGAACUUCAGACUUACAGUCAGAGAAUAUAAGAACUUCUUCCCAUUGUAUAGAGCAACAAUAGAUGUCAAAAGAGAGAAUCCAAAACUAAUAAUAACAAUAACUGGCCCCAAAAACUAGAUAAGCAUCACAGUGGACCAGGACUAGAAGAAAGACAGUAAGUGAUAAGCAAGGCUGAAGCCAUAUCUUCCACUUCCCUGCAGAACCGCGGCAGUUGGGAAGGGAGUCCUGCAUAGUCACAAGGCCUCAAAUUGUGUCACUGGAGAAAGACAUGAAUGAAGCCCCUCUGAGGAAGGCCUUAGCCUCUCCAGGACAACACAGGCCUAAGAAGUUAGGAAUAAGAAAAGGAAAAAGCUUAACAGUGAUAAACCCUAAUACUUUACUGGACGAGCCCUUCAGAUAGCCUUCUUGGAGUUUGCUGAAUUAUGGCUCUAAGGGCCAGGCUCUCUCCACUCCUGGUAGGGAGAGCUCCUGGCUUCUAUCGGAAAGUCAUAAGCAUCCCUAGUUUUCCCCUGUUCCUUAAGAGCUUCGUAACCCCGCCUUCCCAGACACCGUAACUCCUUGGAGCCAGAGCAGGAGCUCUCCACGUUUGCCCUUAGAUGCUUCAAGAUGUCGUGGUCUCAGAAGACAUCAUGGGGAAAUGGGAGAGUCCAUUCUGUAUACAGCUCUCUUACAAAGAGUGGGGACCACAGUGGGUGAACAUGCCCCUGGGGCUGAGGAGCACUGUUACCAUUCAGGCCCAGGAAGGCAGAUAGAGGAGUCAGAGAAGGUAAACAGGCACGCGGCAGGCUCAAGGUAGAGCCUGGCUUCGUCGUCCCCAGGUGUGAAAGAAAAAGGGAAGGACGCAAAAAUAAGACAUCAGGGAAUCUUAGCUGUGUGCGUACCUGGUUCACAACUUGUAGUCCCUCGCCACUCCCAGGUGUGGUCCCUGGACCAGCAGCAGUGGCAUCACCCGGGAGCUCUCCAGAAAUGCAGAACCCCAGGGUCCACCCCGGACCCGCUGAAUCAGCGUCUGCACUUUCACCAAAUCCCCAGGUGAUUCACAAACACGUUAAAAAUGUGAGCACUGUUGAAGUCCACUUCUGUCGCUCCCUAGGUCUGGGUUGCUCUGGACUGUUGACUAGACUCUUCCGAAUUGUCGGGGAGAACAGACUAGGAAUAGAGCACAGACUAGGAAUUCAAAUGCAAGACACUGUCAUUUAUAAGAACAUCACUGCAGGGAAGAAUUAAAGGGCUCACCGAUCAGCAACUGAACACCAGCUCGGUAAAGUUUAUGGCAGGAGGAAGAAAUCAGUGCCUCCACGUAAGACAGAACUAUACAUCAGCAGUUGGAGAAAGGAAAAUGCUCCAAAAAUAAUGGAUCCUAAAUGCUUUUCUGGGCAAACACUGUGACCCCUUUCAGGUAGCCUUUUGAAUCUCAUGACCACAAGAUCGACCUCUCCCUCCACUGCUGGGCACCACACGUUCUCUUCCCCUUCCCUGCUGGCCCUAGGAUGGUAGCUUCGACCACAUUGCUCAAAGUUCUGUUUCCAGUUUUCAUCUCUUCCGUUAUUCCGCAGCAUUUGCUUUCCCGACGAUGGGGUCUUUACCAGAAGGUAAACAGAAACCACUCUAGAUAUUCCAGCAGAGGGGAUCUGAGAACAGAAAAUUGGCUACAGACACAAUGUAGGGGCCAACACAUCAAACACGGGACAGUGAGGCAACCCAGAGAACAGAAAUAGCAGAAAGCCACUACCCACCCCCAAGGAGAUGGGGUGACCUCAGUCUAGAGCCAGGGUCACCUGGUGGAAAGAGGAACCUCCCAGAUUGGUCCCAUGGGAGAUGGGUUUUCCACGGGGAAAACCACUGAUGCUGGGGACCCUGGCAGAGCUAGAGAGGGGAGCCCCCUGGCUUCUCCACCCCUCUGGCCUCUGCCAUCCCCUGGACCUAUCUUGUUGGUAGCCAACCAGGAGAGGAGCCUCAAAGAGCCUCCUUAGAGGGGAAGAGGCAGGGGGUGUGAAUAGGGCCGAGUCAGUCGCUGUCCUUUCUGAAGUUCUUCCCUUGAGUUCUGUCAAAAGUUGUGAUCUGUUUCCGUUUCUAGGUUAUGGGGUGAAUUGUGUCCCACCCCCACCGACCGCUAAUGUGGAAAUUCUAAUCCCUGUACCUCAAAAUGUACUUGGAGACGAGCCCUUCAAAGUGGUGAUUAGGGUAAAAUGAGGUCACAUGGGUCAGCUUAAUCCAGUAUAACUGGUGUCCAUGUAAGAGAUUAGGACACAGAUGCCCACGAAGGGAAGACCACAUGAAGACAAUGGUAGAAAAUGGCCAUCCACAUGCCGAGGACAGAAAACCUUUAGAAGAAACAGACUUGCCGAUACUUUGAUCGUGGACUUGUAGCCUCCAGCCUUUGAGGGCAUGUGUUUCGGCUAGUUAAGCUGCCCAGGCUGCUGCGGGGCCUUGUUACGGCCGUGAGGGCACUCGGGUACAUCCUAGUUCUCAGUGGCCCCUCCUCUGGCUCUCUGGCCCUUCUGUGAACCACUGGUCUCAGGUAAGUCUUUGCCCCCAAGCUCUGGCCUCUCCUGCAUUCUCUUCCAGAGUGGUUCCAUUUGCCCUCCCCGUUUCAGCAGCCAUCCCUUUGGGCAUGAUGCCCAGAUGGCUCCAGUGCCACAACCAUGGCUUCUAUGUAUCCACUUGGACAUUGUUAGUAUCUCAAGUGCGACGUGAAUAAAACCAAGCAUAUUUUGUCCCACCAA
Molecule: long non-coding RNA, 3177 nt
Organism: Suricata suricatta (meerkat)
Lineage: Eukaryota; Metazoa; Chordata; Mammalia; Carnivora; Herpestidae
Exons: 2
Source: RefSeq, a predicted model, not a curated record